GACGAACGCUGGCGGCAGGCUUAACACAUGCAAGUCGAACGCUCUCUUCGGAGAGAGUGGCAGACGGGUGAGUAACGCGUGGGAAUCUACCCAGUGCUACGGAACAACACAGAGAAAUUUGUGCUAAUACCGUAUACGCCCUCCGGGGAAAGAUUUAUCGGCAUUGGAUGAGCCCGCGUUUGAUUAGCUAGUUGGUGAGGUAAUGGCUCACCAAGGCGACGAUCAAUAGCUGGUCUGAGAGGACGAUCAGCCACACUGGGACUGAGACACGGCCCAGACUCCUACGGGAGGCAGCAGUGGGAAUAUUGGACAAUGGGCGAAAGCCUGAUCCAGCCAUGCCGCGUGUGUGAUGAAGGCCCUAGGGUUGUAAAGCACUUUCAACGGUGAAGAUAAUGACGGUAACCGUAGAAGAAGCUCCGGCUAACUUCGUGCCAGCGCCGCGGUAA
RNAcentral lists this ribosomal RNA (446 nucleotides) under uncultured bacterium. Its description in RNAcentral is "bacterial SSU rRNA". It matches the Rfam family "Bacterial small subunit ribosomal RNA", at positions 28 to 523 of the family's 1533-position model. The record is from RNAcentral.